RNAcentral lists this ribosomal RNA (608 nucleotides) under uncultured bacterium. RNAcentral describes it as "bacterial SSU rRNA". It matches the Rfam family "Bacterial small subunit ribosomal RNA", at positions 338 to 948 of the family's 1533-position model. The record is from RNAcentral.
CCUACGGGAGGCAGCAGUAGGGAAUAUUGGGCAAUGGAGGCAACUCUGACCCAGCCAUGCCGCGUGCAGGAAGAAGGCGUUAUGCGUUGUAAACUGCUUUUAUAUAGGAAGAAAUAGUCCUUGCGAGGAAAGUUGACGGUACUAUAUGAAUAAGCACCGGCUAACUCCGUGCCAGCAGCCGCGGUAAUACGGAGGGUGCAAGCGUUGUCCGGAUUUAUUGGGUUUAAAGGGUGCGUAGGCGGUUUAUUAAGUCAGUGGUGAAAGACGGUCGCUCAACGAUUGCAGUGCCAUUGAUACUGGUAGACUUGAGUGGGAUUGAGGUAGCUGGAAUGGAUAGUGUAGCGGUGAAAUGCAUAGAUAUUAUCCAGAACACCAAUUGCGUAGGCAAGUUACUAAGUCUCAACUGACGCUGAGGCACGAAAGUGUGGGUAUCAAACAGGAUUAGAUACCCUGGUAGUCCACACUGUAAACGAUGAUAACUAACUGUUGGCUUUCGGGUCAGUGGUACAGAGAAAUCGUUAAGUUAUCCACCUGGGGAGUACGCCGGCAACGGUGAAACUCAAAGGAAUUGACGGCUGAGACGNGCGAGACGACGACGAGGGAGGAGG